RNAcentral lists this ribosomal RNA (620 nucleotides) under Chiropturopoda sp. AL5866. RNAcentral describes it as "eukaryotic LSU rRNA". It matches the Rfam family "Eukaryotic large subunit ribosomal RNA", at positions 2290 to 2896 of the family's 3401-position model. Lineage: Eukaryota; Metazoa; Arthropoda; Arachnida; Mesostigmata; Uroactiniidae. The record is from RNAcentral.
CCUCGUCAUNUAAUUAGUGACGCGCAUGAAUGGAUUAAUGAGAUUCCUACUGUCCCUACCUACUAUCUAGCGAAAUCACAGCCAAGGGAACGGGCUUGGAAAUUACAACGGGGAAAGAAGACCCUGUUGAUCUUGACUCUAGUCUGACGUUGUGAAGAAACAUAAGAGGUGUAGCAUAAGUGGGAGUUAUAGUAAUAUAACAACAAUGAAAUACCACUACUCUUAUCGUUUCUUUACUUACUUGGUUGAAAAAGAAUAGGUCUUUUUAAGACCGAUUUUGUAGUAUUAAGUUAAGAAUUCAUAUUCUUAACUACUUUUACCAAGGACAGCGUCAGGUGGGGAGUUCGGCUGGGGCGGUACAUCUGCCAAAUGGUAACGCAGGUGUCCUAAGGUGAGCUCAGUGAGGACAGAAACCUCGCGUAGAGUAAAAGGGCAAAAGCUUGCUUGAUCUUGACACCCAGUAAGUGUACAGACUGCGAAAGCAGGGCCCCUCGAUCCUUUUAUUUUUACGAGUUUUAAGUAAGAGGUGCCAGAAAAGUUACCACAGGGAUAACUGGCUCGUGGCAGCAAAGCGUUCAUAGCGACGUUGCUUUUUGAUCCUUCGAUGUCGGCUCUUCCUA